This 253-nucleotide ribosomal RNA is filed under the name uncultured bacterium. Its description in RNAcentral is "partial 16S ribosomal RNA". It matches the Rfam family "Bacterial small subunit ribosomal RNA", at positions 524 to 776 of the family's 1533-position model. The record is from RNAcentral.
UACGGAGGAUGCAAGCGUUAUCCGGAAUCACUGGGUUUAAAGGGUGCGUAGGCGGAUUGAUAAGUCAGAGGUGAAAGCUCUCAGCUUAACUGAGGAACUGCCUUUGAAACUGUCAGUCUUGAAAUAUGGUGAGGUUAGCGGAAUGAGUCAUGUAGCGGUGAAAUGCAUAGAUAUGACUUAGAACACCAAUUGCGAAGGCAGCUGACUGGCCAUUAUUUGACGCUGAGGCACGAAAGCGUGGGGAGCGAACAGG